Molecule: ribosomal RNA, 430 nt
Filed under: uncultured Bacteroidota bacterium
Lineage: Bacteria; Pseudomonadati; Bacteroidota
Description: bacterial SSU rRNA
Rfam family: Bacterial small subunit ribosomal RNA
Source: RNAcentral
AACGCGAAGAACCUUACCUGGGCUAGAAUGCUGGUGGACCGUGGGUGAAAGCCCACUUUGUAGCAAUACACCGCCAGUAAGGUGCUGCAUGGCUGUCGUCAGCUCGUGCCGUGAGGUGUUGGGUUAAGUCCCGCAACGAGCGCAACCCCCAUCACUAGUUGCCAUCAGGUAAUGCUGGGAACUCUAGUGAAACUGCCGUCGUAAGACGUGAGGAAGGAGGGGAUGAUGUCAAGUCAUCAUGGCCUUUAUGCCCAGGGCUACACACGUGCUACAAUGGGGAGGACAAAGGGCUGCAACACAGUGAUGUGAAGCUAAUCCCAAAAACCUCUUCUCAGUUCAGAUCGCAGUCUGCAACUCGACUGCGUGAAGCUGGAAUCGCUAGUAAUCGUAUAUCAGCAAUGAUACGGUGAAUACGUUCCCGGGCCUUGUA